AACGAACGCUGGCGGCAUGCCUAACACAUGCAAGUCGAACGAGACCUUCGGGUCUAGUGGGGCACGGGUGCGUAACGCGUGGGAACCUGCCCUUAGGUUCGGAAUAACUCCCCGAAAGGGGUGCUAAUACCGGAUAAUGUCUUCGGACCAAAGAUUUAUCGCCUUUGGAUGGGCCCGCGUUGGAUUAGCUAGUUGGUAGGGUAAAAGCCUACCAAGGCGACGAUCCAUAGCUGGUCUGAGAGGAUGAUCAGCCACACUGGGACUGAGACACGGCCCAGACUCCUACGGGAGGCAGCAGUGGGGAAUAUUGGACAAUGGGCGAAAGCCUGAUCCAGCAAUGCCGCGUGAGUGAUGAAGGCCUUAGGGUUGUAAAGCUCUUUUACCCGGGAUGAUAAUGACAGUACCGGGAGAAUAAGCGCCGGCUAACUCCGUG
RNAcentral lists this ribosomal RNA (433 nucleotides) under uncultured bacterium. RNAcentral's name for it is "partial 16S ribosomal RNA". It matches the Rfam family "Bacterial small subunit ribosomal RNA", at positions 29 to 507 of the family's 1533-position model. The record is from RNAcentral.